UACGUAGGGUGCGAGCGUUGUCCGGAAUUAUUGGGCGUAAAGGGCUCGUAGGCGGUUUGUCGCGUCGGGAGUGAAAUCCACUGGCUUAACUGGUGGCUUGCUUUCGAUACGGGCAGACUGGAGGUAUGCAGGGGAGAACGGAAUUCCUGGUGUAGCGGUGAAAUGCGCAGAUAUCAGGAGGAACACCGGUGGCGAAGGCGGUUCUCGUGGG
RNAcentral lists this ribosomal RNA (211 nucleotides) under uncultured bacterium. RNAcentral's name for it is "partial 16S ribosomal RNA". It matches the Rfam family "Bacterial small subunit ribosomal RNA", at positions 524 to 733 of the family's 1533-position model. The record is from RNAcentral.